Molecule: ribosomal RNA, 253 nt
Filed under: uncultured bacterium
Lineage: Bacteria
Description: partial 16S ribosomal RNA
Rfam family: Bacterial small subunit ribosomal RNA
Source: RNAcentral
UACGGAGGGUGCAAGCGUUAUCCGGAUUCACUGAGUUUAAAGGGUGUGUAGGCAAGCUGUUAAGUCAAUAAUGAAAUCUCCAAGCUCAACCCGAAAACUGCCAUUGAUACUAUCAGUCUUGAAUAUCGUUGAGGUUGGCGGAAUAUAUCAUGUAGCGGUGAAAUGCUUAGAUAUGAUAUAGAACACCGAUUGCGAAGGCAGCUAACUAAGCGAUGAUUGACGCUGAGGCACAAAAGCAUGAGGAUCAAACAGG